RNAcentral lists this transfer RNA (18 nucleotides) under Myotis sodalis (Indiana bat). RNAcentral describes it as "partial tRNA-Pro". The record is from RNAcentral. Lineage: Eukaryota; Metazoa; Chordata; Mammalia; Chiroptera; Vespertilionidae.
CAGAUACUCUAAAACCUU